Long non-coding RNA from Ahaetulla prasina, 816 nucleotides. RefSeq lists it as uncharacterized. The transcript has 4 exons. The record is from RefSeq and is a predicted model, not a curated record. Lineage: Eukaryota; Metazoa; Chordata; Lepidosauria; Squamata; Colubridae.
CUGAGGGACUCUGGGAGUUGAAGUCCACAAGUCUUAAAGGGACCAAGGUUGGAGACCCCUGCUCUAUAUGUUUUGCCAGAGUGGCUGUGGAAAACAGUGCCUAGAAACUACAGGGAGAUUCCUGGCUACGGACAAGAGCAAGAAUAUCAAAUCAGUUAAGGAUCAUGGAAGUAUGGCAACACAGUAGUUUCAGAAUAAGAUUAAAGGAGAACAACUCUGUGCCACUCCAAUUGCCCCUGUUUAAGAAGAAGCCAAGCCACUGGAGCAUCAGAAUCAAAGCUUUCAGGAAUCUUCCUCAGGAAAGCAAGAAAACGAUAAGGAUUUGACCUCAUAGCUUGCUCUGGAGACAUCCAUUCCAUGAUGGAGCCUGACCAACCAAGCAAAAGUCCCCAGUGUACAACACAGCGUCAACCUAUGCUCAAACAUUUUACUUCUUUGCGACUCUAAUGCUUAAAGCAUGUUAUCAGGUUUAAACAGGCAAAGAAGAUUCUUGGCUGCUGCUCAGCAAUUUCCCAUCAUUUAUAUAGCAGUGAAGAUGCAAUAAGAAGAAGAAAUGCUUCUUCUUAUUUCAGCAGUUGGGUGUACAAGGAAUAUAAAUAUAAUUUAUGUGCCCAAGGUCCCCAUAAAACAGCAAAUAAAGUAAGCAUCAGAAAAGAUGAAGAUGACAUUUAACCAUGUCAUCCUAUGUCAUGAUUUGAUGAUGAAAUCAAAUCAAAUGAGUCAUUUGUUGAUGAAGGCAUUUCUAUUACCAAACUUCAAAGUAAUGGUCAAAGUAAUGAAUUCCCACCUCAACCUCAGCACAUUCAAGUUGCUGAG